RNAcentral lists this ribosomal RNA (380 nucleotides) under uncultured eukaryote. RNAcentral's name for it is "partial 18S ribosomal RNA". It matches the Rfam family "Eukaryotic small subunit ribosomal RNA", at positions 592 to 976 of the family's 1831-position model. The record is from RNAcentral.
CAAUAGCGUAUAUUAAAGUUGUUGCGGUUAAAAAGCUCGUAGUUGGAUUUCUGCCGAGGACGACCGGUCCGCCCUCCGGGUGAGUAUCUGGUUUGGCCUGGGCAUCUUCUUGGAGAACGUAGCUGCACUUGACUGUGUGGUGCGGUGUCCAGGACUUUUACUUUGAGGAAAUUAGAGUGUUUCAAGCAGGCACACGCCUUGAAUACAUUAGCAUGGAAUAAUAAGAUAGGACCUCGGUUCUAUUUUGUUGGUUUCUAGAGCUGAGGUAAUGAUUAAUAGGGAUAGUUGGGGGCAUUCGUAUUUAACUGUCAGAGGUGAAAUUCUUGGACUUGUUAAAGACGGACUACUGCGAAAGCAUUUGCCAAGGAUGUUUUCAUUGA